UUGGAGGGCAAGUCUGGUGCCAGCAGCCGCGGUAAUUCCAGCUCCAAUAGCGUAUAUUAAAGUUGUUGCAGUUAAAAAGCUCGUAGUUGAAUUUCGGGAUCAGAUUGUCGGUCGUGCCUCGGUAUGCACUGGUAUUAUUGGUUCCUACCUUCUGAAGAACCGCGAUGUCAUUAAUUUGGUGUCGUGGGGAAUCAGGACUGUUACUUUGAAAAAAUUAGAGUGUUUAAAGCAGGCUUACGCUUGAAUACAUUAGCAUGGAAUAAUGAAAUAGGACGUUUGAUUCUAUUUUGUUGGUUUCUAGGAUUGACGUAAUGAUUAAUAGGGAUAGUUGGGGGCAUUAGUAUCCAAUUGUCAGAGGUGAAAUUCUUGGAUUUAUUGAAGACUAACUACUGCGAAAGCAUUUGCCAAGGAUGUUUUCAUUAAUCAAGAACGAAAGUUAGGGGAUCGAAGACGAUCAGAUACCGUCGUAGUCUUAACCAUAAACUAUGCCGACUAGGGAUCGGAUGAUGUUAAUUUUUUAAUGACUCAUUCGGCGCCUUACGGGAAACCAAAGUGUUUGGGUUC
This 564-nucleotide ribosomal RNA is filed under the name uncultured Glomeromycotina. RNAcentral's name for it is "SSU rRNA". It matches the Rfam family "Eukaryotic small subunit ribosomal RNA", at positions 548 to 1114 of the family's 1831-position model. Lineage: Eukaryota; Fungi; Glomeromycota. The record is from RNAcentral.